Molecule: non-coding RNA, 251 nt
Filed under: Rattus norvegicus (Norway rat)
Lineage: Eukaryota; Metazoa; Chordata; Mammalia; Rodentia; Muridae
Source: RNAcentral
CAAUCCUCUAAACUGUUACAAGGAUAAAUAAUACCAAAAUUUCCCUUCCCACUUAAUAAAUACGCAGCUUUGUCACAGGUCGGUAUCGCGAGUCAGUCCAUGUUGGUAGUUCUGUUAGUUCUUAGUGCUGGGUUCUGUUAGAACUGAAGGACUAAGCAGGCAGUUACAGAGCUUCCGUCUGGAGCACUGUGAGUCUUCACAUUUCCCCGAAUCACUCAGAAAAGUAUAACAUUCCCUUUUUCUUGUUUUAC